GGCGCUAUGGUGUAGUGGCAGCACAUGGGAUUCUGAUGUUCCUCCGCCAGUCUUCCCAUAACCCAGGUUCGAACCCUGGUAGUGCCU
This is a non-coding RNA of Guyanagaster necrorhizus, 87 nucleotides long. Lineage: Eukaryota; Fungi; Basidiomycota; Agaricomycetes; Agaricales; Physalacriaceae. The record is from the annotation of a RefSeq genome assembly.